RNAcentral lists this ribosomal RNA (265 nucleotides) under uncultured bacterium. RNAcentral describes it as "partial 16S ribosomal RNA". It matches the Rfam family "Bacterial small subunit ribosomal RNA", at positions 57 to 305 of the family's 1533-position model. The record is from RNAcentral.
GCAAGUCGAACGGGAAUUACUUUAUUGAAACUUCGGUCGAUAUGAUUUAAUUCUAGUGGCGGACGGGUGAGUAACGCGUGGGUAACCUGCCUUAUACAGGGGGAUAACAGUCAGAAAUGACUGCUAAUACCGCAUAAGCGCACAGAGCUGCAUGGCUCGGUGUGAAAAACUCCGGUGGUAUAAGAUGGACCCGCGUUGGAUUAGCUAGUUGGUGAGGUAACUGCCCACCAAGGCGACGAUCCAUAGCCGGCCUGAGAGGGUGAAC